AUUGAACGCUGGCGGCAUGCUUUACACAUGCAAGUCGAACGGUAACAGGGUGCUUGCACCGCUGACGAGUGGCGAACGGGUGAGUAAUGCGUCGGAACGUGCCGAGUAGUGGGGGAUAACGCAGCGAAAGUUGUGCUAAUACCGCAUACGUACUGAGGUAGAAAGUGGGGGACCUUCGGGCCUCACGCUAUUCGAGCGGCCGACGUCUGAUUAGCUAGUAGGUGAGGUAAAGGCUCACCUAGGCGACGAUCAGUAGCGGGUCUGAGAGGAUGAUCCGCCACACUGGGACUGAGACACGGCCCAGACUCCCACGGGAGGCAGCAGUGGGGAAUUUUGGACAAUGGGCGAAAGCCUGAUCCAGCAAUGCCGCGUGUGUGAAGAAGGCCUUCGGGUUGUAAAGCACUUUUGUCCGGAAAGAAAUGGCUCUGGUUAAUACCUGGGGUCGAUGACGGUACCGGAAGAAUAAGGACCGGCUAACUACGUGCCAGCAGCCGCAGUAA
Molecule: ribosomal RNA, 500 nt
Filed under: uncultured bacterium
Lineage: Bacteria
Description: partial 16S ribosomal RNA
Rfam family: Bacterial small subunit ribosomal RNA
Source: RNAcentral